AAAAACAUGGUCUACUCGGGAAAAACUGUGAGGACAACUACUGCAAAAUACUAGUUUAUAGUCACAAAUCUAGGAAAAAAUCAUUUCUGUAAAAAACAUCAUUUUACUAAUCUUCAACUAAAAAUUUCUAACUUUUUUAACAAGUCACAAACAUUUAACGUAUAUUAUAGGCUACAGUUAAUAAAACAUUGGGUAUGUCACUUCUACUAUUUUAAUAUUCUUCACAUAAUAUUUUAAGUUUAUUU
Non-coding RNA from Cinara cedri, 245 nucleotides. The record is from the annotation of a GenBank genome assembly. Lineage: Eukaryota; Metazoa; Arthropoda; Insecta; Hemiptera; Aphididae.